GAUUACACCAGUUUAGGCGCAUGCUCAUCUGUCUAAUGCUACGUGGGAAAUGAAGUUCUUCACUCCAUACAGCUGAUGCACAAUUGAGAGGAUCCUGUCGGGCUGCAUCACCACCUGGCAACGGCAACUGCACUGCCCAUAACCGCAGGGCUCUCCAGAGUAUGGUACGGUCUGCACAACACAUCACCCGGUGCAAACUACCUGUCCUCCAGCACCCUUCAUCACAGCAAGGCCACUGCCAGCAAUACGUUUGCAAACAUUUCUAAACCUGUUUUCGCUUUGAGGUAUUGAGUGAAAAAAACAAUUUUUUAUCAAUUUUAGAAUAAAGCUGUAACGUACCAAUUUUGUGUAUUCAAUUGGUAGUUAGUCUCAUCACUGCAACUCCCGUACGGACUCAGGAGAGGCAAAGGUCGAGAUCCUCCGAAACACAACCCAGCCAAGCCGCACUGCUUCUUGACAGGCAUUGGCCAGCUUAACGUGCACACUUCUGGGCCGCCACAGGAGUCGCUAGUGCACGAUGGGACAAGAACAUCCAUGGGACAAGAACAUCCAUGCCAGCCAAACCCUCCCCUAACCCGGACGACGCUGGGCCAAUUGUGCGCAGCCCCAUGGGUCUCCCGGUUGCGGCUGGCUGCGACAGAGCCUGGACUCGAACCAGGAUCUCUAGUGGCAGCACUGCGUAGCGGUGCCUUAGACCACUGCGCCACUUGGGAGGCCCCACUACCAUCCAGAAGGCGAUGUCAGUACAGUUGCAUCAAAGCUGGGAGCGAGAGACUGAAAAACAGAUUCUAUCUCAAGGCCAUCAGACUGUUAAACAGCCAUCACUAACACAGUGAGGCUGCUGCCUACAUACAGACUUGAAAUCAUUGGCCACUUUAAUAAAUGGAUCACUCGUCACUUUAAUAAUGUUUACAUAUCUUGCAUUACUCAUCUCAUAUGUAUAUACUAUAUUUUAUCAUAAUAAUCUUAUAAUAAUCUUGCCUAUGCCGCUCGGUCAUUGCUUAUCCAUUUAUUUAUAUGUAUAUAUUCUUAUUCCAUUCCUUUACUUAGAUUGUGUGUAUUAGGUAGUUGUUGGAUUUCUUUAUAUUGUUGCACUGUCAGAACUAGAAGCACAAGCAUUUCACUACACUCACAAUAACAUCUGAUAACCAUGUGUAUGUGACCAAUAAAAUGUGAUUUUUGAUUUGAUCAAUGAUCUCUCUGUACUUUGCUCCGUUCAUCUUUCCCUCGAUCCUGACCAGUCUUCCAGU
Molecule: long non-coding RNA, 1250 nt
Organism: Oncorhynchus nerka (sockeye salmon)
Lineage: Eukaryota; Metazoa; Chordata; Actinopteri; Salmoniformes; Salmonidae
Exons: 2
Source: RefSeq, a predicted model, not a curated record